Molecule: ribosomal RNA, 253 nt
Filed under: uncultured bacterium
Lineage: Bacteria
Description: partial 16S ribosomal RNA
Rfam family: Bacterial small subunit ribosomal RNA
Source: RNAcentral
UACAGAGGUGGCAAGCGUUGUUCGGAAUUACUGGGCGUAAAGGGCGCGUAGGCGGCCUUCUAAGUCAGACGUGAAAUCCCCCGGCUUAACCUGGGACCUGCGUCUGAUACUGGGAGGCUUGAGUAUGGGAGAGGGAUGUAGAAUUCCAGGUGUAGCGGUGAAAUGCGUAGAUAUCUGGAGGAAUACCGGUGGCGAAGGCGGCAUCCUGGACCAUAACUGACGCUGAGGCGCGAAAGCUAGGGGAGCAAACGGG